UGCGAUCAUACCAGCACUAAUGCACCGGAUCCCAUCAGAACUCCGAAGUUAAGCGUGCUUGGGCGAGAGUAGUACUAGGAUGGGUGACCUCCUGGGAAGUCCUCGUGUUGCACC
RNAcentral lists this ribosomal RNA (114 nucleotides) under Paenarthrobacter nicotinovorans. Lineage: Bacteria; Bacillati; Actinomycetota; Actinomycetes; Micrococcales; Micrococcaceae. The record is from RNAcentral.